This 634-nucleotide ribosomal RNA is filed under the name Penicillium parvum. RNAcentral describes it as "eukaryotic LSU rRNA". It matches the Rfam family "Eukaryotic large subunit ribosomal RNA", at positions 1 to 649 of the family's 3401-position model. The record is from RNAcentral. Lineage: Eukaryota; Fungi; Ascomycota; Eurotiomycetes; Eurotiales; Aspergillaceae.
UUGACCUCGGAUCAGGUAGGGAUACCCGCUGAACUUAAGCAUAUCAAUAAGCGGAGGAAAAGAAACCAACAGGGAUUGCCUCAGUAACGGCGAGUGAAGCGGCAAGAGCUCAAAUUUGAAAGCUGGCUCCUUCGGGGUCCGCAUUGUAAUUUGCAGAGGAUGCUUCGGGAGCGGUCCCCAUCUAAGUGCCCUGGAACGGGCCGUCAUAGAGGGUGAGAAUCCCGUAUGGGAUGGGGUGCCCGCGACCAUGUGAAGCUCCUUCGACGAGUCGAGUUGUUUGGGAAUGCAGCUCUAAAUGGGUGGUAAAUUUCAUCUAAAGCUAAAUAUUGGCCGGAGACCGAUAGCGCACAAGUAGAGUGAUCGAAAGAUGAAAAGCACUUUGAAAAGAGAGUUAAAAAGCACGUGAAAUUGUUGAAAGGGAAGCGCUUGCGACCAGACUCGCCCGCGGGGUUCAGCCGGUAUUCGUACCGGUGUACUUCCCCGUGGGCGGGCCAGCGUCGGUUUGGGCGGCCGGUCAAAGGCCCUCGGAAUGUAACGCCUCUCGGGGCGUCUUAUAGCCGAGGGUGCCAUGCGGCCAGCCCGGACCGAGGAACGCGCUUCGGCACGGACGCUGGCAUAAUGGUCGUAAGCGACC